CCUGGCUCAGAGUGAACGCUGGCGGCGUGCUUAACACAUGCAAGUCGAACGAGAACGGAUUAUAGCUUGCUAUAAUUGUCAGCUAAGUGGCGCACGGGUGAGUAAUAUAUAGGUAACGUGCCCUAGAGAGGGGGAUAACAGUUGGAAACGAUUGCUAACACCCCAUAUGCCUUUAUCCCAUAAGGGAGCAAGGGAAAUAUUUAUAGCUCUAGGAUCGGCCUGUACAGUAUCAGUUAGUUGGUGAGGUAAUGGCUCACCAAGACAAUGACGCUUAACUGGUUUGAGAGGAUGAUCAGUCACACUGGAACUGAGACACGGUCCAGACUCCUACGGGAGGCAGCAGUGGGGAAUAUUGCACAAUGGACGAAAGUCUGAUGCAGCAACGCCGCGUGGAGGAUGACACAUUUCGGUGCGUAAACUCCUUUUAUAUAGGAAGAUAAUGACGGUACUAUAUGAAUAAGCACCGGCUAACUCCGUG
RNAcentral lists this ribosomal RNA (478 nucleotides) under uncultured bacterium. RNAcentral's name for it is "bacterial SSU rRNA". It matches the Rfam family "Bacterial small subunit ribosomal RNA", at positions 18 to 507 of the family's 1533-position model. The record is from RNAcentral.